UACGUAGGGCGCAAGCGUUAUCCGGAAUUAUUGGGCGUAAAGCGCGCGCAGGCGGUCAUGUAAGUCUGGUGUUUAAUCCCGGGGCUCAACCCCGGAUCGCACUGGAAACUGGAUGACUUGAGUGCAGAAGAGGAGAGUGGAAUUCCACGUGUAGCGGUGAAAUGCGUAGAUAUGUGGGGGAACACCAGUGGCGAAGGCGACUCUUUGGCCUAUAACUGACGCUGAGGCGCGAAAGCGUGGGGAGCAAACAGG
Molecule: unclassified non-coding RNA, 252 nt
Filed under: uncultured Paenibacillaceae bacterium
Lineage: Bacteria; Bacillati; Bacillota; Bacilli; Caryophanales; Paenibacillaceae
Description: contains 16S-23S intergenic spacer region
Rfam family: Bacterial small subunit ribosomal RNA
Source: RNAcentral